This 477-nucleotide ribosomal RNA is filed under the name Staphylococcus aureus. Its description in RNAcentral is "partial 23S ribosomal RNA". It matches the Rfam family "Bacterial large subunit ribosomal RNA", at positions 996 to 1476 of the family's 2925-position model. The record is from RNAcentral. Lineage: Bacteria; Bacillati; Bacillota; Bacilli; Caryophanales; Staphylococcaceae.
UGAUAAGGUCCGUGUUCGAAAGGGAAACAGCCCAGACCACCAGCUAAGGUCCCAAAAUAUAUGUUAAGUGGAAAAGGAUGUGGCGUUGCCCAGACAACUAGGAUGUUGGCUUAGAAGCAGCCAUCAUUUAAAGAGUGCGUAAUAGCUCACUAGUCGAGUGACACUGCGCCGAAAAUGUACCGGGGCUAAACAUAUUACCGAAGCUGUGGAUUGUCCUUUGGACAAUGGUAGGAGAGCGUUCUAAGGGCGUUGAAGCAUGAUCGUAAGGACAUGUGGAGCGCUUAGAAGUGAGAAUGCCGGUGUGAGUAGCGAAAGACGGGUGAGAAUCCCGUCCACCGAUUGACUAAGGUUUCCAGAGGAAGGCUCGUCCGCUCUGGGUUAGUCGGGUCCUAAGCUGAGGCCGACAGGCGUAGGCGAUGGAUAACAGGUUGAUAUUCCUGUACCACCUAUAAUCGUUUUAAUCGAUGGGGGGACGCA